RNAcentral lists this non-coding RNA (23 nucleotides) under Rattus norvegicus (Norway rat). The record is from RNAcentral. Lineage: Eukaryota; Metazoa; Chordata; Mammalia; Rodentia; Muridae.
CUAUAUACCAACUGUUGUAGCCU